This 78-nucleotide ribosomal RNA is filed under the name uncultured bacterium. Its description in RNAcentral is "partial 16S ribosomal RNA". The record is from RNAcentral.
AUGGAGUGGGUUCCACCAGAAGCCGGUCGCCUAACCGCAAGGGGGGCGCCGACCACGGUGAGAUUCAUGACUGGGGUG